UACGGGGGGAGCAAGCGUUGUUCGGAUUUACUGGGCGUAAAGGGCGCGUAGGCGGCCACUGCAAGUCGGUUGUGAAAUCUCCGGGCUUAACCCAGAAAGGUCAACCGAUACUGCAGGGCUAGAGUGCAGAAGGGGCAACUGGAAUUCUCGGUGUAGCGGUGAAAUGCGUAGAUAUCGAGAGGAACACCUGCGGCGAAGGCGGGUUGCUGGGCUGACACUGACGCUGAAGCGCGAAAGCUAGGGGAGCGAACGGG
This 254-nucleotide ribosomal RNA is filed under the name uncultured bacterium. Its description in RNAcentral is "partial 16S ribosomal RNA". It matches the Rfam family "Bacterial small subunit ribosomal RNA", at positions 524 to 776 of the family's 1533-position model. The record is from RNAcentral.